This 769-nucleotide ribosomal RNA is filed under the name Balamuthia mandrillaris. Its description in RNAcentral is "partial 16S ribosomal RNA". It matches the Rfam family "Bacterial small subunit ribosomal RNA", at positions 593 to 1370 of the family's 1533-position model. The record is from RNAcentral. Lineage: Eukaryota; Discosea; Longamoebia; Balamuthiidae.
AAAAAAAACUAUAUCUUUUUAUAAUACUAUAUGACUAGAGUUAAAAAAUUGGGGAUGGCGGAUACCUCCAGUUUAGAAGUGACAUUCGUUUGCCAUUGGGGGGGUGACAAACAAUAGGCGAUGGGGGGGAACCAUUUUUAUACUGACGCUGAGGUACRAAAGCAUGGGGAGCGAACAGGAUUARAGACCCUGGUAGUCCAUGCCCUGACCUAUGAAUAUUAAUCGYCCAUUUAGAUAGKGGAUGACUAAGCUAACGCGAAAAUAUUCCACCUGAGGACUACGGCCGCAAGGUUAAAACUCAAARAAAUUGGCGGAAGAUCGUUUAAGCGGKGGAGUAUGUGGUUUAAUUCGAUAAUACGCGAAAAACCUUACCAAUCUUUGUGCACAUUUUCGGUUCUACAAAACUUGUAGCCCAAAUUGAGGUGGUCAAUUUGGGCUAGCUAUGUGCCAGGCGUUGCAUGGYUGUCGUAAGCUCGUGUCUUAGGAUGUGUGGUUAACUCCAUGAACGGGCGCAACCCUUGUUCCUAGUUAGAUUAGGAAUGAAAACAGUGAAAACUGCUUUUGAGGAUGAGGAGUAUGUCAAGUCAAUAUGACCUUUAUAGAUUGGGCUACACACGUACUACAACGGUAGCUACAAUGGAGAAACAAUGCCGUGAGGCGGAGUAAAUCUCUAAAACCUACCCUAGUUCGGAUUAUUUUUGAAAAUAAAAAUAUGAAGCCGGAAUUCGKCUAGUAAUCYGYAAAAAAGAAUGUUGGCGGGUUGAAAUUA